CCCUUAGAUGUUCUGGGCAGCACGCGCGCUACAAUGGUCUUCGCAAACGGAUGCAUUCUCGAAGGAGAAUGCCAAUCUUGGAAUCUAUGCCUUGGUCGGGACAGUUGCUUGCAAUUUUUCGACUCGAACCAGGAAUUCCUUGUAAUCGUGAUUCAUCACAUCACGAUGAAUACGUCCCUGCCCUUUGUACACACCGCCCGUCGCUCCUACCGAUCGAAGAGUUAGGUGAAUUGUUUUGAUCGAUAAGAUUUGACUAUGGUCAACUCUCGUUGUGAAAUUCUGUGAAUCUGACUGUUUAGAGGAAGGAAAAGUCGUAAUA
RNAcentral lists this ribosomal RNA (319 nucleotides) under uncultured eukaryote. RNAcentral's name for it is "partial 18S ribosomal RNA". It matches the Rfam family "Eukaryotic small subunit ribosomal RNA", at positions 1470 to 1796 of the family's 1831-position model. The record is from RNAcentral.